ACAAGGCUUCGAUUUCAAAAGGGAGACUUUGUUCACUAUUGCAACUUGUUGUGGAUUCGUCUGCGAUCUCACCGGAAUACAUCAUCACUACUCAAUUGUUCUCGAUGCUCUACGAGAUGGGCUACACUGAUGUGCUUACCACAGUUACGAAGGUCAAGAAGUCAUGCUUACUGCCUAAAUGGAAUGGAUUGCUUACUCUUCUCAUCAAGAGUUUGGCGGAGAGGAAUGGUGGGUCUGAUGUGUUGGAUUAGGUGUCUAAGCCCAUAACUAUUAUUGGUAUGUAUUCGACCCGAGAGUAGCAUGGUCCAUUUGGGUUGCAUAUCAUCAGGACAAUUUGCUAGGAUGGACUUUUGAGAGAAGGUUAUUUAUGGGUUAUUAAUAUAUUAUAAGUAAUAAUAUAUUAAUAUGAAAUCAUAUGUUUUUAAUUAGUAUUGAUCAAGAAUUAAUUUUGAAUUAAUUUAGUGGUCGAAAGUGACUAAUUAAAUCUAUGGGGACUAAUUAUGAUAAUUAGUUAUAUUUAUAUGUGUUGGGCUUAUGAUCCAUGUUGGACCAAGUUUAUGUAUGGAUACAUAAAGAGUUGGGCCACAUGAACCAUGGAUCAUAAAACCCAUGGGUAUGGAUUUAGGUUAUAUCCAUAACCCUAGAAAUCCCACAUAUAAAUAGAUACUUCAUUGCCUAAAAUCGCCACUUGUAGCUUUUUAGAGUUCAUGGUGUCUUUUGUUUGCAUGGAAUUCUCUCUCAAGUUCAUCCUUUGUCCAUGGUGUGUUGUGAUUCCAUUUGAGGCUUCCACACUAUUGGGGCUAAGCUCUUUAAGGCCAAAUACAACAAGAAUUGAAGCUGCAUCAAAAGGUAUGUCAUGCUAACUAGUAUAUUAUAUUUUUAUGUUAAAUGCAUGCUAGUUGUAAGAUUAAUACCUUGGAAACCAUUUGCAUGUAUAAUUAGUGAAAACAUAGAUCCAAGGUAUUUAGGGUUGUAGGUGCACCAUAGGAUGUUGUACUAUACCAAAACCCAACAGUGGUAUCAGAGCCAUGGGUUGUUUUCAAUUACACUUAUUGCAAGUUGCUGGAAAAAUCUGAAAAAAAAAAUCGAAUUUUUUGCUGUCGGGACAACAGACUUGACGAGUCCAGUGAUGGACUCGACGAGUCCAUGAACAAAUUAAUCCAACUCGUCGAGUUGGUUCAUGCACUCGACGCGUUGGACCCCCUGACAGCUUAUCUUCGAGUUUUUUGGCCUGUUUUGGAUUAGAAUCAUUACCGCAAAGUGUUUUUGUUCAUAAAAUUUGUUUUUUGAUACUAUGGUAAUGUUUAUUCUCAUCCAAAUAAAGGAUAAUAAUCAAAGUUUCAUGUUUUAUACAUGUUUAUAUGAUGCUUGAAAAAAGUUGAUUAUGAAUGUUCAUGUUUAUGAGUUUGUUUAGAUUAAUAGGAAAAAUUAUGAGAUAGUUGUUUUCAUUCCAAAUUAAUCUUGGAGUUGUUCAUAAUAUGUGUUUUUGUAACUUGUCCUGAAGUUACAUGAAAAGUCACAUUUAUGUUAAAACUCAUAAAAUUUCCAUAAGUUAUGAAAAAAUGAAGAGUCACAUUUUUUAAUGCUUUUAAAGUCUUCCAUAACUUGUCUACAAGUUAUGGAACUUGAAGGUUUUUUCCAUUAAACCACUUAAAAAUUCAUAAGUUAUGGAAACCAUAAGUUUUUUGAAUUGUUCAAAACUUGUCCUCAAGUUUUGGAAUUUGUAAAGUCAAACCCCAUAUACACUUUAAUUCCAAACCCAAGAAUUUUAAAAGUUAAAGUUCAAACUUUAUGGACUUCAUUAAAUUAAUUAAAGUGUCAAAUUAAAAGAGUUAAUAAUUCCAUAAAGACAUCGUUUAAGUUUAAUUAAAUUAAGAGUAUAGUUUAAUUAAUAGAUUAAACCACCAAGUAUUUUAAAUGUUUAAAAUACACCCUUAUACUAUUAUAAUAUUAAUAGUUAAUACUUAUAUAUNNNNNNNNNNNNNNNNNNNNNNNNNNNNNNNNNNNNNNNNNNNNNNNNNNNNNNNNNNNNNNNNNNNNNNNNNNNNNNNNNNNNNNNNNNNNNNNNNNNNNNNNNNNNNNNNNNNNNNNNNNNNNNNNNNNNNNNNNNNNNNNNNNNNNNNNNNNNNNNNNNNNNNNNNNNNNNNNNNNNNNNNNNNNNNNNNNNNNNNNNNNNNNNNNNNNNNNNNNNNNNNNNNNNNNNNNNNNNNNNNNNNNNNNNNNNNNNNNNNNNNNNNNNCACUUUACACUUUGUCUAAGUCGUUAGUGGAGCGUGUGUGGUUAACCGGCACACUAACUUGGACUUAACAAGGUAGGUAAAGGGUGACUUAAUAUUUAUCAUAGUAUCGAUGGAGCGUGUGUGGUUAACCGGCACAUCGAUUGAGGGGUAAUUUAUUAAGGGUACCAAGUGAUUUGCAUGGUUACUUCACACCUUGUUUUGUGAUCCUCGGCAUCCCAGUCACAAAACCUGAAGGGCACACUCGAGAUUGAAACAUGCCUUUGAACAGUUCAAUGAAUCUCAAAGAUCUAGGAGUUUCAAAACCAAUUAAAACCUAAUAAUACAUUUCGUUUAUCUUGGUGGAAAUUGGUGAAUCGUCAUUCACCUACCUUCAAAUAUUUUAUAGCUUGGAUUACGGCAUCCCUCUUCCAAGUUAUAAAAGUAUUGUGUUGGGUCCUAGCCUUAAUAUUUCAUAUUGGGUGUUAUAUUAAGGACUUUAAAUCAACUAUCUUGAAUAUCUCCCAAAAGAUGUCUGGUUUAGACAUUUAUGAUCUUCCCAAAUCUCUUGAAACAAGCUUUCCUAAAUGAAGAUGAUGUCCCAUGGAAAUCAUACUUCUUUCACCUCCUCCAAUUAUUCUCCCUAAGCCACAAGUUCCUGAAAAGUUUAAGGUCACUCAAGCCCUAUUAGCAAGCAAAGGUCUAUGUGUGAUCACAUCUUGGAGAUGUAGUCACAUAUUGACAAGCCGGGAGAGUUGGGUGUCAAAGUCUUGAGAAAGUUGGUGGAUCAACUACUUUCUAAGUCACAUAGUGAGUUCUUUUGGAACACAUAUGAAACAAACUAUGACAAGACCCUUAAUGAUCUUAUCUAUUUGCUAAGAUCAACUUCCUAAAAACUUUAUGGACAUUGACAAUGAUGACGCUGGAAAUCCACAAAAAGCAUUCUCUUCCCAAUGGAAAGGGAUCGGCCAUAGUCAACUCGGUUGACCAAAUGGUAAAGAGAAAAGCUAAGUCUGAGAGAGUCCCAUUACCGAAGGGUCCAUAUGUUUAUAUUGCCAAAUAAAGGGGCAUUGGUUGCGAAGCUGCCAAAUUUACCAAAGGGCUUCUAGCCCAGUGGUAUCAGGUGGUGCCCUCCCUCUUUGAGGUCGAGGGUUCAAGUCCCGUUGUGGACAUAGGUGGAAUUAGGUGGUAUUAGUUUAGGAAUAGUUUAGAUUUUCCAGUUCAAAAAAAAGUUUGAUUCUACUUCAGGUAAUGUCCACUAUCUAACUCUGCUAAGUUUCUAUAUUCUGAGAUUCUUGAUACAUGAUGUGACUGGGUCACAUGUUGAUGUUUUAAGAAUCAAAGAAAAAUGAAGAAACUUAAUGAAAGAAUAUGUUGAAUCUGAUUGCGUAGAUGAAUUUCUAUCGCGUAUUUUAAAGAUAGGAUUCUUGAUACUUCUUAGGAGUUAUGAUAUUUUGCUUAGGAAUAGAUAACAACUUUUCAUAUGGAUUGUAAGGAUAAGUUUUUUCCGAAUAGUUUGAAAAUAAAAGGUAAAUCUUUUGAUGUUAUUUAUUUUAAAAUAUCCUUCCAAUGGCAUUUAUGAAAAUCUGUGUUGCUUAUAAGAUUCCAUUAAGAGCAAGAGUGGAAAUAUGAAUUUGAUUCUUUCAUUUGUGGUAGUGUCUAAAUUUACCAAAUAAGGAAAGAUUCUCAUCACCCAAGUUUCAGUUGGAUAGAAACUUGGAAUCAUGCAAGUUGUAUAGCAUGAUGAAUGAGAACUUUCGAGCAUUGGAAAAAAUUAAGAGCAACUACUUGUUCACAUGGAUGUGUGAGUCAAGUGAAGGACUAAGGGAUCGGGUACACAUUCCUGUGCACUGGUCAGAGUCCACCACAAAAGAUCGAUAAGACUAUUCGUCAUAAUUUACUAUACCUCAGUAAAUAUGGUUAUACUUACAAGCUUAAGUGUAAUUCUGAGACAUUAGAAAAGGUUCCAAUUUAUGGCAGAGCGAAUAAGAAAAAUCAAUUUACGUAGAAAGAUAAAAGUUUCUCAAAUCUGAAAAGAUGGGAGAGUACUUUAGUAUCAUAUCUUAAGAGCAUCUUAAUGAUUUUGAGACCUUUUAUCAAUUCAUCCUCUAAGUGCAUUCUGAUAGUUAAGAAGAGGCGUUAUGAAUUGUUGAAGUGGUUAAAUCAAGAAGAUGAUUCAUACUUCAUUCCAAAAACAAUUAUUAGACUUAUACUCUAAGAUUGUAACUUGAGUGACAUGUCUUAAAGAAGGUUUAAAACACUUAUCAAAUGUAAGAGUAAAAGUUUUCUACUCUUGUACAUUUGAAAUUGGUAAGUUGUGAUGUUUUGGAUAAAACAAAGACCAACUAAGGCCAAUUGUGUGAAGUGUUUGUCUUGAUUAGAAUCCACACUAUCUCUUGAAUAUCUGACAAGAGAGUCUUAUAUGUCAAGAGGACAGUGGGAGUCUUAAAGGUCUUGAAAGUCUCAAGAACUAAUCAAGAAUAAAACCUGAAGUUCUUCACUAGCACACGACUUGAGGUUUAUAACCUAUCGUGUUGACAUAUUCUGUGCCCAUUCCAGUUAAAGUUGGCUUUGCAUAUGAGUUCUUAGAGUUCUCAAUUGGUUGCACAACAACUUGGAAGGAAUGGCAGGCCCUUGAGCUGCCAGGUGGCAAGAAAUUAAGAUUGAGUUCAGUCCAUAUGAGUUUGGAUUUGUCAGUAUCCUUGUCUUGUGACUAUGGUUUUGACAAUUCACAUGGAUGAGAACACAUACACCAUUAAUAUAAGGGUCAUAAGGUUUCUCUCUGAUUCAUGAAAAUGAUGGUGAGGAAACACUUCCACUAAAUAGAUUUGAAGUAUAUAGAAAUUGUGAUAUUUGCAUUCUCAAAGUCGUUAGUGGAGCUGUGUGGUUAACUGGCACACUAACAUGGACUUGUGAGAAAUGGCAAAGGUCUAAACAAUUGAGAAUAUGAUUACGGCAUACCUUUUCAUAGUUCUGAAAUUGUUUAGACAAACCUAUGAGCUAUCUAAGAUACGGUGUAUGAUAUUGAUAAAGUUUUAUCAAAGCAAUCUAGUAUCAGAAAUCUGAACUUUGGUAAGAAAGUCAAUAAAGUAUUGUUUUUUCUAGAAGUUCAACUGAUUUCUGAGUACAUGUCAAAGCUAGUGGGAGCACAAGUGUUAUGCUAAUAAUCAUCAUGUUAGUGGGAGCAUGAUAAUUAUGAUAAAGGUUGCAAGUUAGCAAUGUUAAUUAUAGAAAACAAAAUGUUUCAAUUGGGAAAAAGUUGUUUUGCUAUAAUUAAGGGAGAGGAAAUUAUACUUCAUCUCAAAUCUAAAAGCUUAGAUUGAGGUUUUAAUCGUAUUUAGUCAAGUAUAUAUAUGAAUGUUAUGUUGGAAUGGCUCAACAUAAGAAAAUUCUAAUAUAUGGGUCCAUUAUUUGCGUUCUAAAAUUCGAUUAUGAUUACGGCAUCCCUUUUCAUAAUCUGAAUUAUGAGAACUUGGCAAAUUGAAAUGGAAAUAUUAUAGCAAAAGACUGGUUUAGUCUUUAUGUGAGACAUCAUGAAUCGUGUCCCAUAUGCUUCGGAUAUAGGAUCGAUUACAUGUGCUAUAUUCAUCCGUUCUAAAAUUUUCCAAAUGCCUGGGGCAUUAAGAAGGGAAAAGGUUUAGAACUGGAUAUGACUAAAAGGAUUAAACAAUUGUCGAGGACAAUCUAAGGUUUACCAAAGAUUGGUUGCUCAAGGACAGUUGGAAGUAUAGUGAUAAUUCUGGAAGGACCAUAUUGACAUAAUCUGUAAGGAGGCAACUCUUGUUCAGAAGUGAUAGUCAAAAUGGAAUCUGGAAAUGUUUCAAAGUUAGAAUUUUCAAUCUGUGUAAGAUUAAGGAAACUUAAUGCAAGAAGGAUAUUUCCAAGGAGUUGAUCUCCUUUGGAAUACUCUGUAAUGAUUGUUGCCAAGUCUUUGUGACUUUGUGCAUAAUCGUUACAAGAGGAUCAAUGCAUAUAAGUUUAGAAUCUAACAGAUUUCAGUAAAUGGCAUGAAUUUGGAAUUCUUGCAUUUGCAGUAAGGAUUUGGGAGUGUGAAAAGAGAAUCAUUGAAGUUAUGUUCAAUUGAUCUAGUUCACAAAGUAAAGAUCAUAGACAAACAUAGUAUGCAUACUUGGUGUAUGGCAUGACUAGUGUUUAGAAAACAUAGUGUACAUGCUUGGAGCAUGGGACAACUAUUGUUUUAAAUUCAAGAAUAAAGUUGAUAGCUGAAACAGUAUAAAAUGAAUAAUGUGUAAUCAUAUGGUGAUAAAUGUUGUGUGUUUUAUUUAUGUUCAUAGGUUUUGAUACCAUAUUCGAUUCAAUUAUUCUUGUGUUUCAUUUUGCUUGUUUUGACUUCCAGAAUAAACUAGGUCAUUGUUCUGCGUGACUAAGUUAUUUAAACCAUCCACAGUCGGUCAUAUGUUGGAAGUAGAUAUGAAUUAAGACUGUCAUGGGUUGGCUUGUAGAGGUCUAAGAUGUUGGACAAAGGGCUACAACACUCAUGAGUGCUCAUAAGUUCUGAGUAUUGGAUUCAACCCGUGCUCAUUGGAAUCACUUCAUGGAUUUUAUCACGAGUGAUCAUGAGACGAUAAUAUCUUAUAUUCUUCGAACUUAGAGAUAUGAGUUGUUGCUAUGAGUUGGUUAUACAUUGAUUGCACGAAAACGCAUUGGUAACUCGAUGUUAUAAAAUGUGCCUUUGUGUAUGAUUCAACAAGUAAUAGAACAAGCCAUAUGAGUCGAUGUUUAUCCAUUCCUUUUACCUUCGGGAUAAAAGCGAUAUCUGUGGGCCCCUCGAUGAUUUGGUGAUGACAAAUGUAAGUGCUCGGCCGAGCCUGGACUGAUUUGAUUUGUUCAAUUAGUCAGUCGUCAUAAAUCGGAAAUCGGGAAACAACAAAUGGACAGAGAGAAUGAUUAUAAUCCAUGUCUCACUCGAUAUGAUAUCUAGAAUGGAGGAAUAUAUGAUCCCUUACCUAAUGGACAUGUCAUUUGAUUUUUUCAGAGUUUGACAACGGCUUUAAAAGCUACGAUUGCUAGUCGGGAUCUUGGAGUCAUACUUGAAUAAUAGUUUUAGACUUAUCCAAGUGGGAGACUGUUGGAUUAGGUGUCUAAGCCCAUAACUAUUAUUGGUAUGUAUUCGACCCGAGAGUAGCAUGGUCCAUUUGGGUUGCAUAUCAUCAGGACAAUUUGUUAAGAUGGACUUUUGAGAGAAGGUUAUUUAUGGGUUAUUAAUAUAUUAUAAGUAAUAAUAUAUUAAUAUGAAAUCAUAUGUUUUUAAUU
This 7489-nucleotide long non-coding RNA is filed under the name Lactuca sativa (garden lettuce). Its description in RNAcentral is "long non-coding RNA (LSAT_LNC004138)". Lineage: Eukaryota; Viridiplantae; Streptophyta; Magnoliopsida; Asterales; Asteraceae. The record is from RNAcentral.